UACGUAGGGAGCGAGCGUUAUCCGGAUUUAUUGGGUGUAAAGGGUGCGUAGACGGGAAGUUAAGUUAGUUGUGAAAUCCCUCGGCUCAACUGAGGAACUGCAACUAAAACUGGCUUUCUUGAGUGUUGGAGAGGAAAGCGGAAUUCCUAGUGUAGCGGUGAAAUGCGUAGAUAUUAGGAGGAACACCAGUGGCGAAGGCGGCUUUCUGGACAAUAACUGACGUUGAGGCACGAAAGUGUGGGGAGCAAACA
This 251-nucleotide ribosomal RNA is filed under the name uncultured bacterium. RNAcentral describes it as "partial 16S ribosomal RNA". It matches the Rfam family "Bacterial small subunit ribosomal RNA", at positions 524 to 774 of the family's 1533-position model. The record is from RNAcentral.